Molecule: ribosomal RNA, 491 nt
Filed under: uncultured bacterium
Lineage: Bacteria
Description: partial 16S ribosomal RNA
Rfam family: Bacterial small subunit ribosomal RNA
Source: RNAcentral
AGUGAACGCUGGCGGUAGGCCUAACACAUGCAAGUCGAACGGCAGCACAGUAAGAGCUUGCUCUUACGGGUGGCGAGUGGCGGACGGGUGAGGAAUACAUCGGAAUCUACUUUUUCGUGGGGGAUAACGUAGGGAAACUUACUCUAAUACCGCAUACUACCUACGGGUGAAAGCAGGGGAUCUUCUGACCUUGCGCGAUUGAAUGAGCCGAUGUCGGAUUAGCUAGUUGGCGGGGUAAAGGCCCACCAAGGCGACGAUCCGUAGCUGGUCUGAGAGGAUGAUCAGCCACACUGGAACUGAGACACGGUCCAGACUCCUACGGGAGGCAGCAGUGGGGAAUAUUGGACAAUGGGCGCAAGCCUGAUCCAGCCAUACCGCGUGGGUGAAGAAGGCCUUCGGGUUGUAAAGCCCUUUUGUUGGGAAAGAAAAGCAGCAGGUUAAUACCCCGCUGUUCUGACGGUACCCAAAGAAUAAGCACCGGCUAACUUCGU